AAGUGGAGAAGGGUUCCAUGUGAACAGCAGUUGAACAUGGGUCAGUCGGUCCUAAGGGAUAGGCGAAGGCCGUUCGGAAGGGGGGGGCGAUGGCCUCCGUCGCCCCCGUGUCGAUCGAAAGGGAAUCGGGUCCAGAUCCCCGAACCCGGAGUGGCGGAGACGGGCGCCGCGAGGCGCCCAGUGCGGUAACGCAAACGAACCCGGAGAAGCUGGCGGGGGCCCCGGGAAGAGUUCUCUUUUCUUUGUGAAGGGCCGGGCGCCCUGGAAUGGGUUCGUCCCGAGAUAGGGGCCCACGCCCUGGAAAGCGCCGCGGUUCCGGCGGCGUCCGGUGAGCUCUCGUCGGCCCUUGAAAAUCCGGGGGAGAAGGUGUAAGUCUCGCGCCGGGCCGUACCCAUAUCCGCAGCAGGUCUCCAAGGUGAACAGCCUCUGGCAUGUUGGAUCAAGGCAUGUAAGGGAAGUCGGCAAGUCAAAUCCGUAACUUCGGGAUAAGGAUUGGCUCU
RNAcentral lists this ribosomal RNA (500 nucleotides) under Labeo dyocheilus. RNAcentral's name for it is "eukaryotic LSU rRNA". It matches the Rfam family "Eukaryotic large subunit ribosomal RNA", at positions 1494 to 1955 of the family's 3401-position model. Lineage: Eukaryota; Metazoa; Chordata; Actinopteri; Cypriniformes; Cyprinidae. The record is from RNAcentral.